CAAAAAACUGUUCACCAGUUGAAACUUGGACCAUUCAUCAUGGAAACAUCAAAAAGUUUUGCUUCUUGCUGGCUUGCCAAAAAUUAUAUCUUCUGGGGUGGAAAUAUUUCUGGUGUUGCUUUAGGGUGGAGGGGGGAACCGUAACAAGCCUCUCAUAGGAAGACAGACUUAGAUCAGGAAAUACUUCUUCAAAAAUCACCGAUGAACUCGACAAGUUCAGACUUAUUGCUCAGGUUUCUGCUACAGAAGGACACAAGAACAGCAACUGUUUGCAAUAAUGACCUGGCUGCUACAGGAACAAUCAGGAUGAUGGAGUGCCAGUCAUUUCUCAAGUUUCAGGUGGAGAGAGUUUGAAGCAGCUGAUGGGAUCCCAGGCAAACAGCUAAGCAGAAGAUCACUGGUAAACAUAUCAUUCGUUUUGGACUCCUACAAUGAUCGCCUCAACAAGACUUCAUGGCAGCGAGCUUUACAGAGAAGCAGCACUGAUGUUACUGAAGACAGCACCGUCACAAGCACGUCCAAGGGCAGAAUUAAGGUUACAGGCUUAAAAUGUCGGCACUUCUUGACUUCCAGCAAUAUCAUCGUGCAGCA
Molecule: long non-coding RNA, 591 nt
Organism: Alligator mississippiensis (American alligator)
Lineage: Eukaryota; Metazoa; Chordata; Crocodylia; Alligatoridae
Exons: 3
Source: RefSeq, a predicted model, not a curated record